Molecule: ribosomal RNA, 390 nt
Filed under: uncultured bacterium
Lineage: Bacteria
Description: bacterial SSU rRNA
Rfam family: Bacterial small subunit ribosomal RNA
Source: RNAcentral
AUUGAACGCUGGCGGAAUGCUUUACACAUGCAAGUCGAGCGGCAGCGCGGGGGCAACCCUGGCGGCGAGCGGCGAACGGGUGAGUAACAUAUCGGAACGUACCCAGUCGUGGGGGAUAACUAUCCGAAAGGAUAGCUAAUACCGCAUACGUCCUGAGGGAGAAAGCGGGGGAUCGCAAGACUUCGCGCGAUUGGAGCGGCCGAUAUCGGAUUAGCUAGUUGGUGGGGUAAAGGCUCACCAAGGCGACGAUCCGUAGCGGGUCUGAGAGGACGACCCGCCACACUGGAACUGAGACACGGUCCAGACUCCUACGGGAGGCAGCAGUGGGGAAUUUUGGACAAUGGGGGCAACCCUGAUCCAGCCAUUCCGCGUGAGUGAAGAAGGCCUCGG